AGAGGUCUCAAGCGUUGUUCGGAUUCAUUGGGCGUAAAGGGUGCGUAGGCGGCGCGGUAAGUCGGGUGUGAAAUCUCGGAGCUUAACUCCGAAACUGCAUUCGAUACUGCCGUGCUUGAGGACUGGAGAGGAGACUGGAAUUUACGGUGUAGCGGUGAAAUGCGUAGAUAUCGUAAGGAAGACCAGUGGCGAAGGCGGGUCUCUGGACAGUUCCUGACGCUGAGGCACGAAGGUCAGGGGAGCAAACGGGAUUAGAUACCCCGGUAGUCCUGACAGUAAACGGUGCACGUUUGGUGUGGGAGGAUUCGACCCCUUCUGCGCCGGAGCUAACGCUUUAAGCAUUCCGCCUGGGGAGUACGGUCGCAAGACUG
Molecule: ribosomal RNA, 371 nt
Filed under: uncultured bacterium
Lineage: Bacteria
Description: bacterial SSU rRNA
Rfam family: Bacterial small subunit ribosomal RNA
Source: RNAcentral